UUUUAGAAGUUGUGUUGAGAUAGCUGCAUCGAGUAUGUGAGGMAGUAUCUUAAUCACUAAUUAAUAAGUAUUACAAGGAAAAGUUGAUUUCUAAAAAUAUUGAAGUAUUAGGAUGAAUGCCUAAAAAGAGACGUUGUAAACACAAUAAGAUCCGGCUGGUGUCUAUUAUAUAAAGGCACUCUACGAGCAAUCACAAACACUAUUUUUUUUUUUACGACUAGUUGACUAAAAUACUACUAGRUACUAAAAUAAUUGUCUUAAGUUGAAAACGUUACUCUGAGUGUUUAAAAGUGUUAAAUACUAACUGAGUUAAAUAAACCACGAUUAAUAAUUAAAUUUAAAACCUUGACUCCUUGAGUUGUUCAUUUGAUUUGCCUACUUAUCAACCRUGUUCCACAUCUAUAUCACAACAGUUGUAUGUGAUAUUACAUUCAAAAYAGAUGAUGGAUUUAUAACAUUUGAUCUUGAAAAUAUUUUAAUGGCAGCUAGUGCAUAUUUCCAAACAAUGUUUUUUAAUUAUUUUAAUGAGAGCAAUAGCGAUUUUAUUAGUAUUAGAAAAUUAGAGAUUCCGUUUUACAACUAUUAGUAGAUAACAUCUAUACUGGAGACAUUAAUGCCUCAAAAGAAAAAAUGUAUUGUUACUAGCUGCAAACUUCUUUUAGUAAGAUUUUGUUCAUGAUUCAUGUGAUGAUGAGUUCUUACAAAAACAACUGGAUACAUCAAAUUAUSUUGGUAUCAAAGUGCUUGCUGACUUUCAUAAURGUUCAGAAUAGUUCUCAAGUUCUGAAGCUUUAAUAAAAAAAGAUGGUGUCAAAAGUGAUGAUUUCCUAUUUUUAUUUUCUGAAGAUGUGGUUAAGAUUAUCUYCUGUUAUGACCUUGCUGUUAGAUUUGAAAU
Molecule: long non-coding RNA, 895 nt
Organism: Diuraphis noxia (Russian wheat aphid)
Lineage: Eukaryota; Metazoa; Arthropoda; Insecta; Hemiptera; Aphididae
Source: RefSeq, a predicted model, not a curated record